This 378-nucleotide ribosomal RNA is filed under the name uncultured bacterium. RNAcentral describes it as "bacterial SSU rRNA". It matches the Rfam family "Bacterial small subunit ribosomal RNA", at positions 523 to 898 of the family's 1533-position model. The record is from RNAcentral.
AUACGGAGGGUGCAAGCGUUGUCCGGAAUUAUUGGGUGCAAAGGGUGUGCAGGCGGGGCGGUAAGUCAGGGGUGAAAGUCUACGGCUCAACCGUAGGAUGGCCUUUGAUACUGUCGUCCUUGAGUCCCGGAGAGGCCAUUAGAAUUCGUGGUGUAGCGGUGAAAUGCGUAGAUAUCACGAGGAAUACCGGAAGCGUAGGCGGAUGGCUGGACGGCGACUGACGCUCAGGCACGAAAGCGUGGGGAGCGAACAGGAUUAGAUACCCUGGUAGUCCACGCUGUAAACGAUGGAUGCUCGGUGUUCAACUCCGUUAGCGGGUUGAGUGCCCAAGUUAACGCGAUAAGCAUCCCACCUGGGGAGUACGCUCGCAAGAGUGAA